CUCAUUCAUAAAGAAAUGGGAAAGUGUAUCUUAUCAUUACAACCUCUAGUUUAAAAUAAAAUACAACUGAAAUACUCCAGAACAUAUACCAAAAGCAUCAGUGUAAUAAAACAGUGUUAUGUCCAAGAAACAAUAUUCUUUUUCUUCUCCUCCUUGUCCUCGAAACAUACCUAACUACCAUUGUCAUCCACCAUAACUACUUCAUUACCUCUACACAGCAGUCUAUUAAAAAAGGUCAAAAUGCGGAAUCCUCUUCAUUUCUAAGAAGCUAUGUACAAGUCUUUUCAUCAACAGAGUGCAGCUGGGCCUGCACCUUGUGCUUCUUAUUCAGGUACGAAUUGCAAAAAAACCAAAACCAAAAAAUCAGCAUUUAUAUGUUACUGAACACGGUAAUUCAAAAAGUUUAAACAUAGUAUUUCUAGGAAAUGGACAUGCUAAUAAAUCCUCAAGGGGUGGGAGAAAUGUCAGAGGAACAGCCUUCCAAUUCCCAUAUCCGGGGCCAAAAUUACGAACAAGAAAAAGGAGAAAGUAAAUUAACCCUAAAUAUCUGUAAAGCAAAUUAGUCGUUGGGUUGGGUCCACAUAUUUCUUUAAUCUCUAUUUUCUAAAAUGGUAUUGCAAGUGUGACACUCAAAAUGGGACAAAGGGAGUAUAUAUAUGUUAAAACUGAAAAGGGCAAAAACAUUAGGAUUAGUUUAUGUGUAAGUUUUUGAAGUUAAAUGGACAUAAUUAAUGGUCAAAUAGUAUAUGAACUAGAAUAAGUACCAGUGGAAUCAUCCAAUCAAUCACUACCAAAAUCUUCAUAACUCAA
Molecule: long non-coding RNA, 810 nt
Filed under: Panax ginseng (ginseng)
Lineage: Eukaryota; Viridiplantae; Streptophyta; Magnoliopsida; Apiales; Araliaceae
Description: long non-coding RNA (PGIN_LNC018358)
Source: RNAcentral